RNAcentral lists this long non-coding RNA (1632 nucleotides) under Salmo salar (Atlantic salmon). RNAcentral describes it as "lncRNA (ENSSSAG00000117260.1)". Lineage: Eukaryota; Metazoa; Chordata; Actinopteri; Salmoniformes; Salmonidae. The record is from RNAcentral.
UUUUCAUGUAACUACAAUAAUCGGUAACGGAUUAAAUUUUUCAAGUAAUCCGCCAAACACUGCACACACGCAGUUACUGCUAGAACUAUUAGCCUAUAAGAAGUAAGGACGAGGGACUAGUGAGGACAGGUAUUGGGGAAUGAUGUGUGUUUACAUUUACAUUUGAGUAAUUUAGCAGAUGCUUUUAUCCAGGGUGAUUUACGGUUAGUGCAUUCAUCUUAAAAUAGCUAGGUGGAACAACCACAUAUCACGGUCCCAUACCCAUAUAGAUGCGUGCCAGGCUGUGUGGCCAGUCUCGUGCUGCCAGCUCCAGGUAGCCAGGUGGUUUGAGAGCUGAGGCCUGCAGGAACUCUCUCAGACCAGAGAAGGGCCCCUAACCUGGAUGUGUGUGACGUAGGCCUGCAGUACGAGGCCUGAGCUCCGAGAGACACAGCAGAGAACAUCCAGAGACAGAAUAUUAGUGGUCCCCUCCCAGAUACUCAACAGCUAGAGAGAGAGAAGGUUUGGGAAAAGAUGGGUUAAUAGGUGAGGUUUUCAGUGUGUGUAAGGAUGUCUCCCACCGCCACUCCACGUACGUCCUCUCGUAUCUGAUGGCGACCAGCCCCUCCUGUGCUGAUAGGUCCUUCAUGUGUAGCCAAGCGGGGGAGGUGACGAUGCAUUCCACAUGGCAACCCCAGGGAUCAUUGGUCACCAACCGACCUCACUCCUGACCCCACCCAUCUACCUCACGCACCAACUGCUCCCCAAACACUCACAGGUGUCUCCUCAGGUAUCCCUGUAGCAGAGCGUCCUCCAGGAAGGGGUUCAGGUCUCUCCUGGAAGAACCCUCCUAUCCAGGCCAGGAGAACUCUGGCUGCCCCUCUGCUCCAGUGACAUCUUGGGGUGACCAAGCCAGGCCCCGCUGAACCAUGCUGGCAGAACUGCUGCUUGACAGCUCGCAAACAUUCUAAUACACAGCCGGUAAAAGCGUCUGGUGACCUGCCGGUGCAGCAGUGGGCUCGAAGCCAUGGUCCAGGAGCUCAGACGUCACGUCACUGGCCUGAAUAUGACAAGUAAACAGAUUUUUUUCAAAACCAGCAGCUGCAUUUCUUUGGUUAAAUUUAAAGGCCUACUCCUUGAUUUGAAAAAUAACAAAACGGCAGCCCUUGCACUUGGUUUGCUGUAAAGCUAGGUAGAGAAACGACACUCAAGUUUAAGGAUCAACAUUUAUAAGAAUCAAUGAAUAUACACAUGAUUAUUUAAAUUAUAAAAAACGGCUGUAAGUAUCACAGUGGGCCGUUAAUAAGCAAUCUUAUGGAUGUGCAGUAGGAAAUCUUACUGCAAAAAAAUGAAUUUAUGUAACAGUCAACGCCUUUCAUAUGUGUGGUUAAACAACUUCAACAUUGGGUUUAGUAAUGGGCCUAAUAUGCAAAGAAAAACCCCCAAAUAAAACAUUAUGCAAUGCCAACAUUUGUGAUCCAAAAGUGUGUUAAAAUUCAGGCACUGUAGCGACAGAGCAAUCUCUAUGCUUCACGUUAGUCUGGCACUGGCAGUGGCGGUUCUAGACCAUUUCAACUGGGGGGGCCAAGCUGGGGCCAGUUGUACUGUUAGAGGGGCCAGUUACAUUAGACGUUAUUGUUGUCAUAUCGUUUU